This is a long non-coding RNA of Oreochromis aureus, 201 nucleotides long. RefSeq lists it as uncharacterized. The transcript is spliced from 3 exons. The record is from RefSeq and is a predicted model, not a curated record. NCBI's taxonomy places the organism in Eukaryota, Metazoa, Chordata, Actinopteri, Cichliformes, Cichlidae.
GCUUGGACUAAUACCGAAAAGAAUUGUGGCACAAAUGGAUAAUUGUGAAGAUGUUGAUGCUGGAUGUGAGUGUGUCAAGGGAGUGUGUAUCUACAUGGGUGAAGACCCUGGCAUGCUUAUCCGGGAGUAUGUGGGCAUGGAAGAACGUGCCAUCAAUGAGACUGUUGAAGACACCACUGUUGGAAUUUAUCUUAAAGAGCA